GUUUCAUCUUCUUUAUUCUUGCUUUUCUCCUCCUUCUUCUCCAUGUUUCAUAUUCUUCAUCAAUUUUUUUCCAGAUUUUCAGUGCAUCAGCAAAAAUCAAUAGAGGCACUACGUAGCAAAAAGAAAUCCUGUCCAAUAGAAAAGGUUGAGAAUGGCACUUGAGUACAUUGUUUCAAAGCUUUGACAGAAUCGAGGAUAACGACAAUAGAAACAUAAAUGAAGAAGAAAGAAGAAAGAAGACAAAAGACAAACUAGAUUUUAACAAGAAAGAAUCAUUAUCCUGCCAUCAACAGACGAUUAAGAAAAAGAAAUCUCAAACUACAAACAAAACGAAAGAGGUUCUCUGUGGCAAACAUAGUAGAAGAGAAGAAUGGUAAAUAAUUUGAAAACACGUACACAUAUUUUUUUUCUCUGAUUCUAUCUUUUAUGUUGCUCUUUAAUAAGACAGAGAAAGCAUAGUUACAGGUGAGAGAAGACUUAAGUUUUACGGCAAAUGAGAGAGAGAGAGCAUUCCAUCUGUGUAACAUCAUAUUGGUUUUUGGUGAGUAAUUUUUAGAGCAAGCAGUCUGUUUGAGAUGUCUUUGUGGACUGUACGAGCUAUAGAAAGGGUUGAGUCUAUUAAUAUAAGUUGACUAUUUUACGGAUGUUGUUCAA
This is a long non-coding RNA of Brassica napus (rape), 654 nucleotides long. RefSeq lists it as uncharacterized. The record is from RefSeq and is a predicted model, not a curated record. The transcript has 4 exons. Lineage: Eukaryota; Viridiplantae; Streptophyta; Magnoliopsida; Brassicales; Brassicaceae.